UAUCGGAACGUGCCCAGUCGUGGGGGAUAACUGCUCGAAAGAGCAGCUAAUACCGCAUACGACCUGAGGGUGAAAGCGGGGGAGUCGCAAGACCUCGCGCGAUUGGAGCGGCCGAUAUCAGAUUAGGUAGUUGGUGAGGUAAAGGCUCACCAAGCCGACGAUCUGUAGCUGGUCUGAGAGGACGACCAGCCACACUGGGACUGAGACACGGCCCAG
Molecule: ribosomal RNA, 216 nt
Filed under: uncultured bacterium
Lineage: Bacteria
Description: partial 16S ribosomal RNA
Rfam family: Bacterial small subunit ribosomal RNA
Source: RNAcentral